AUUCUUUUGUAGUUCAUAAGCGUGAUGAUUGGGUUUUCACACUCAUGUGUGAGAUGUGUCUCCUUCAAACCUUGUUACAAUGUCGGCACAUUACCCGUCUGAUG
This 104-nucleotide small nucleolar RNA is filed under the name Propithecus coquereli (Coquerel's sifaka). RNAcentral describes it as "Small nucleolar RNA U13 (ENSPCOG00000004944.1)". It matches the Rfam family "Small nucleolar RNA U13". The record is from Rfam by way of RNAcentral. Lineage: Eukaryota; Metazoa; Chordata; Mammalia; Primates; Indriidae.